This 253-nucleotide ribosomal RNA is filed under the name uncultured bacterium. Its description in RNAcentral is "partial 16S ribosomal RNA". It matches the Rfam family "Bacterial small subunit ribosomal RNA", at positions 524 to 776 of the family's 1533-position model. The record is from RNAcentral.
UACGAAGGGUGCUAGCGUUGUUCGGAAUGACUGGGCGUAAAGGGCGCGUAGGCGGUGAGAUACGUCUGAUGUGAAAUCCCCGGGCUUAACCUGGGAACUGCAUUGGAUACGGUCUUGCUAGAGUCCGCGAGAGGAAGAUGGAAUUGUGCGUGUAGAGGUGAAAUUCGUAGAUAUGCACAAGAACACCGGUGGCGAAGGCGAUCUUCUGGAGCGGUACUGACGCUAAGGCGCGAAAGCGUGGGGAGCAAACAGG